GAUGAACGCUGGCGGCGUGCCUAAUACAUGCAAGUCGAGCGAACAGACGAGGAGCUUGCUCCUCUGACGUUAGCGGCGGACGGGUGAGUAACACGUGGAUAACCUACCUAUAAGACUGGGAUAACUUCGGGAAACCGGCGCUAAUACCGGAUAAUAUAUUGAACCGCAUGGUUCAAUAGUGAAAGACGGUUUUGCUGUCACUUAUAGAUGGAUCCGCGCCGCAUUAGCUAGUUGGUAAGGUAACGGCUUACCAAGGCAACGAUGCGUAGCCGACCUGAGAGGGGGAUCGGCCACACUGGAACUGAGACACGGUCCAGACUCCUACGGGAGGCAGCAGUAUGGAAUCUUCCGCAAUGGGCGAAAGCCUGACGGAGCAACGCCGCGUGAGUGAUGAAGGUCUUCGGAUCGUAAAACUCUGUUAUUAGGGAAGAACAAAUGUGUAAGUAACUAUGCACGUCUUGACGGUACCUAAUCAGAAAGCCACGGCUAACUACGUG
Molecule: ribosomal RNA, 497 nt
Filed under: uncultured bacterium
Lineage: Bacteria
Description: partial 16S ribosomal RNA
Rfam family: Bacterial small subunit ribosomal RNA
Source: RNAcentral